Molecule: long non-coding RNA, 506 nt
Organism: Cygnus olor (mute swan)
Lineage: Eukaryota; Metazoa; Chordata; Aves; Anseriformes; Anatidae
Exons: 3
Source: RefSeq, a predicted model, not a curated record
GCUGACCUUAUCACAUACAAGUCAGGCUCAGGAAGGGAGGAAGCACUCUGCCCUGCCGUCCUUGUUUCACAAGGGGCAAUUGUUCCUGUAGUUUUUUGCUGAGAUCUCACCCAAGCACACCAGCCCCAACCUUGCAGAGCUGUAGGUUCAGCAGGGCCAGCAGCAUCCAUCAGUGAGUGAAAGGGGCUGGGCCAGGCUGAACACUGAAUAGCUUUGGAAUGGCUUGAACCUGUCCGCAACAAUGGCACAAAUGUCAUAUAAAACCAGGCCCUCUGCAGUAUCAAGAUGCUGAGGAGUGCAGAGCUCAAAGGGAACCAUGAACACAGUGGGGACAAAGGAUGCCUCGGGACCUUCGCAGCACGGCUAGAAGUGGGGCCAUCAGCAAGGAUGUGCCACCAUGCGACCCUGCCCACGCUGCCUGGACAAGCAGGCCAUGCUCAUCUCUAGUGAGAGCAGCCCAGCAUUUCGGGUGGUUAAUGUCACUAAUAUUGGCACAUGUAUUCACA